AAGCUGGAAUUGCUAGUAAUGGCAGGUCAGCAUACUGCCGUGAAUACGUUCCCGGGCCUUGUACACACCGCCCGUCACACCAUGAGAGUUGGGAAUACCCGAAGCCUGUGAGCUAACUUAUAGAGGCAGCAGUCGAAGGUAGAAUCAAUGAUUGGGGUGAAGUCGUAACAAGGUAAC
Molecule: ribosomal RNA, 177 nt
Filed under: uncultured bacterium
Lineage: Bacteria
Description: partial 16S ribosomal RNA
Rfam family: Bacterial small subunit ribosomal RNA
Source: RNAcentral